Molecule: ribosomal RNA, 585 nt
Filed under: uncultured bacterium
Lineage: Bacteria
Description: bacterial SSU rRNA
Rfam family: Bacterial small subunit ribosomal RNA
Source: RNAcentral
ACGGGUGAGUAACAUUUAGGAAUCUGCCUAGUAGUGGGGGAUAGCUCGGGGAAACUCGAAUUAAUACCGCAUACGACCUACGGGUGAAAGGGGGCGCAAGCUCUUGCUAUUAGAUGAGCCUAAAUCAGAUUAGCUAGUUGGUGGGGUAAAGGCCCACCAAGGCGACGAUCUGUAACUGGUCUGAGAGGAUGAUCAGUCACACCGGAACUGAGACACGGUCCGGACUCCUACGGGAGGCAGCAGUGGGGAAUAUUGGACAAUGGGGGCAACCCUGAUCCAGCCAUGCCGCGUGUGUGAAGAAGGCCUUUUGGUUGUAAAGCACUUUAAGCAGGGAGGAGAGGCUAAUGGUCAAUACCCAUUAGAUUAGACGUUACCUGCAGAAUAAGCACCGGCUAACUCUGUGCCAGCAGCCGCGGUAAUACAGAGGGUGCGAGCGUUAAUCGGAAUUACUGGGCGUAAAGCGAGUGUAGGUGGCUCAUUAAGUCACAUGUGAAAUCCCCGGGCUUAACCUGGGAACUGCAUGUGAUACUGGUGGUGCUAGAAUAUGUGAGAGGGAAGUAGAAUUCCAGGUGUAGCGGUGAAAUG